RNAcentral lists this long non-coding RNA (449 nucleotides) under Cricetulus griseus (Chinese hamster). RNAcentral describes it as "lncRNA (ENSCGRG00015033876.1)". Lineage: Eukaryota; Metazoa; Chordata; Mammalia; Rodentia; Cricetidae. The record is from RNAcentral.
ACUUAGAAUUCCAUAAAAGCUUAAUGUACUUACGGUAGCAGUAAAGAAAAUGCCCCCAAAGGGAGUCGCACAAUUAGGAGGUGUGGCCUUCUUGGAGUAGGUUUGAUCUUGUUGGAGGAAGUGUGUUGCUAUGGAGGUGGGCUUUGAGAUCUCAUUUAUGCUCAGGUCACACCCACUGAGAAAGAUCACUAGUCAAGAUGUAAGAACUCUCAGCUCUUUCUCUAACACCAUGCCUGCCUGCAUGCUGCCAUGCUUCCUACCAUGAUGAUAAUGGACUAAACUUCUGAACUUCAUUUAGCAGCACACCAAUGAACAAUCCCAUGAGGAGGUAAAUGGGAAAGGUAAGAAGAACAGAUGGGACCCAUCAGCAUGUAGAAGCAAAGACAUAGGUAUUCAAGUUGUAACUGACUUAUCUGACUGCAACAGACAGGAGACACAUUCAAAGGAGG